Molecule: unclassified non-coding RNA, 480 nt
Filed under: Hevea brasiliensis (rubber tree)
Lineage: Eukaryota; Viridiplantae; Streptophyta; Magnoliopsida; Malpighiales; Euphorbiaceae
Source: RNAcentral
AUUCAAUGAAGGAUAUCUUGUGAUUUGCGAUUGUGUUGUGUUUUGGAGGUAGCUUUUGUUGGAGCACAAAGUGGAGGUCAUUGGUUCCCGAGGGAGGCAACUGAUGGGGGUUAAAUUGCUAUAGGAGAUAGGUCCCUGUAGUCAUCCAACUCCCCUUUGAAGAUCAGCUCCACUUUCUUCUAUCUAUAAGUGGCCUAAUGUUUUACAGUACUAGUGUCUGGGCUAGAAAGGGACUCACCAUUUUCUUAGGCAGCAGAAAAUGAGUGACUUGGCUAUGAGAGUGUUUCUUUUCAAUUUGAUCCGAAUGCUUGUGAUGUCUGCAUCUCUAUGCUUUUGGGUGUGGCUUAGGCUAUAUUGUUUCUCUUGCUUUUUGCUGUUUGGCACUGUUGGUAAUUUUGGUUGUGCUUUAGGUACUUCUCUAAGCCUAGCGGUGAUGUUAAUGUGGUGAGGAAUUUGUGGAGAAAUUUGGUUGGGGUUAGU